ACGGGCGACUUUGGUGGGAAGUUUGACGAGCAUCACGCUGUGUUCUGAUAUAGGAAUCCGUUUAGAAUAAACUUUUCAGUAUUUAAGUAUUGAUUUUUACAAGUUUCAGGAGUGGUAUAAGUCUUACGUGCAGUGAUAAGUGAUUACAGUACCUAAUAAAGUUCGGCAACUGUACAAUUACGAAAGGAAAGAGGACGUAUUCUUCAAUUUUGCUUUUUGUGAAAGACAGCCAUUUUGUGCUUGGCCUACGAACAAGUUAAAACUUUCUCUUCGAUUCGAUGAUUCUCUAGAACUUUAAUCGCUAUCAAAGUUUUGUGAAUGUGUUUUUCUACUCAAUGCAUGCAUGGCUCAAGUGCUUGAAACUGGUGAUUGAGAUCCAGUAGCACAUCAUCCUCAAAUUCAAGUUCACAUAGCAAUGUGAACAAGGAAAAAAGAUACAGGAGAGUGUAGUGUGUGACACCUCACCCUAUAAGGCGACCCUGCUAGUGCUGCGAUGUGGGCAGCGCUAUGCACGAGUACAAUGUUUUUAAUUUGCAUUUGUUGAAACUAAUAAAGACUAUUUCUGACUGUGGACUAAAAGUGUGUGUGAGUGUUCGUAAAGUUAAGAUAUGUUGCUGGCUGCUGGGUGUCGAUGCCUGCCGGGAGUGGUUGGUGUCCUGGAGGAUGAAGCCGGGAGAUGUUGACGACCAGAUAGCGUCUGAGAGAAUCUCCACUACCUGGUUUUUUUUUGGGUAUGCGAUGUAACCAGACUCGAAAGUACUUGAGUGUUUGAAAUGUUAGGUGUUAGUGUUAUAGUGAGUGCAAAUGGACACAAAUUAGUAGAUAAGUACUGAUUAGGGCUUGCAAAUAUUCGA
Long non-coding RNA from Spodoptera litura, 854 nucleotides. RefSeq lists it as uncharacterized. NCBI's taxonomy places the organism in Eukaryota, Metazoa, Arthropoda, Insecta, Lepidoptera, Noctuidae. The record is from RefSeq and is a predicted model, not a curated record.